This is a non-coding RNA of Physcomitrium patens, 2934 nucleotides long. The record is from RefSeq and is a predicted model, not a curated record. Lineage: Eukaryota; Viridiplantae; Streptophyta; Bryopsida; Funariales; Funariaceae.
UGCUCAAUAAAAUUAUCUAUUGAUUGAGUUCAACAUCAUCACUUCCAGAUUAUACUCUGAUGGAGCUAUUGGUCAAAAGCUGUAUGAAAAGUUUGUUCUCAUUAAUUGCAAAUCGUUGAUUUUAAGUUCAAGCAUCCACCACUUUUUUGAUGAUGAGGAGAUUAUACCCGUUCCUCAGAAUGUAGAGAGCCAUCUAGCGCCGAGAUAGUUCAAGGUUAUUCUAGACUGACAUCCAGUCGGUGUUUACGCAACUUUCUCGAGGCUCUUUCUUUACAUUGUUCGAUAGGUUCCUUGUGUAGUGUGGCGUGGUUGUAGGUAUGUUUUGGAAUUUGGAGCACUUCUGGGCACAUUCUCUUGGUGAUUCAUCCGGUUGAUAUCACUGUGAGAUGAAUUAACCUAUCACAGAGCCAAGUUAUAUUUUUGCAAAUCUCUGAGACAAUUCAUUGUUGAAUUUGGUGCUUGUGUAGUAAGUGUGCUUUGGAACUCUCAGAAAAGGAUGCUAACCCGGGUACAGUGACGCACUGGAUUAGGGUUGCCUGUCCGAGAGUUGUGCAUGGCCUGAGGAUAGAAUGUACACGACUAUAAUUACACUUCUCGACAAAACUGAGUUGAGGUUAGUUCAUGUCUAUCCGAAGAUUAAUCUAAGAAAUCGAUAAACACCGCUCUAAUUAAUUGGCCAGGUGCGCUUCACGUCUAAUAGCGUGUAAUGUGUGAUACCAUUGCCAUUUAUUGAUUGUUCCUCGUGCCCAAAUACCGGCACACCUCUCUAAGUAUUUGCACAUCCUCUUUUAAUUAGCAGCAGUCUAUUUUUCCUACCCUAUUCUGCAUGUUUGAAACUAAGUACUCGGGCUCCUACACUUUGUUUCUGUUAUCAUGGAACAAUAUGUAUCUUCUUGUCCGUUUGCAUAUGAACACUUCGCUCUGAUGCUGCAGAUUGUGAGAAUGCAUGUUCGAAGUCCAGGUUCUCUAACAAACCAAAAGAAAUGCAAUUUGCUGCAGCAUGUGGAAGGUUAUGACGAUGGACUGUUGUUCAACUGCUGUCUCUGUGGUCUGUCUAAGUCCCAAAUAGCGAAGCACGGAAGCGAGGAUGCGUUGUUCUUUGCUACCGCAGGAUCACUAGCCUCGCCUUUCUGCCAUUGUUUCUCACAUCAUUGCUUUCUGUCUCGGAUCUUAUCUCACCCUGAAAUACAAUAAUCUGGGACUGUUGCAUGCCAAGGGCAACCCAAGAAAGUUCCUCGAUGUUUUUUUGAAGCUUGACACCUGUCGAGCAAGUUCCGAUUGUAUUGCUUAAGUACCAAACACUGAGUCGAGACACUGGCUGUAAUAGCAAGGCUGGAACCUGUUGCAGCCGGGUGUGAGCGCAGCGAUUUUGCAGAAGUCUUUAAUGUGCUCACUACGUUUAUCACGGUCAAAAUAAUGACUGGCUUCUGAAGUUGGACGUAAUUGUGGCCACCGCAGCAGUGCACAAACCUCUUACCACCAUUGUCCGGUACAUAGCAAAGCAUUCUGACAUGGAGGUUCAAAUUUUUGUCGCCCAACAGACUCAACGUCAGAGAUACGAUCACGAGGUUGUGGGAUGAAAGAGUUGCAUAUUUUGGGGGUGUCUAUGUGCAAGAAGCAGUAGGAAUCUCUCAUCUGUUGGCUGUUGGUGGGAGUCUGCGAAAAGGCUUUGCUGAGGGAAAUCAACGAGAAAUCCAUCACAACAGCAGCGUCUCGUGUAGAAGUGUAGUAUCCAAGGUUCAGAGUGCAAAUGAGUUGGUGCAGCUUGGCGAGUAGCAGCGGCGUUCGAGGUUGGAGACAGUUGCAGGCGAGCGAUGAGCUCAUCAUCAAGACAUGCCAUUAGUGGGCUACUUCGAAAAUGAAUGGCUUGUCUUGUGGAUCUGAGGCAUUGGGUGAAAUAUGGGCAAGGGUUAUGAAGAUGGGCGAGGAGUAAAUGGAAUCAGGCGGAGCAACGUGGGGAUGCCUGGGUGGCAGAGCAGCUAGAUCCAGAUGUUACCCAUGCCUUCAGUGGAGUUUUCGAAGCCCAGGGUUGGCACCAAAAGUAACGGCUUGACAGCUUGUCGGACUUGUGCAUGGGGAGCUCAAGCACCGCGGAUUUAUGCAUGGGGUGCUGUGCGCGUUGGGGUCACGCUACCGUGCUUGGAACCUGAGGGUUACAACCUGAUGUUAAAACACGGUAGCAGGGCGUGUUGGUGCUCCUGGUAAAGCUGAGGGAACCAUUGCUACCUAUUUUAGUUGCAGAGAAGCCCAUGGAUUGAGGGUGGGCAUAAUACUUGAGUUGCGCUUGAGAUAUUCCAAAACCGCAAUUCCAUAACCGGGACUCGAACCCGGGUCGCCUGGGUGAAAGCCAGCGAGUCUGCAAUGAGGCGGAUAUGAGAGAAGGGGAUUGCAACAACGGCAGGGUCGGUGGAGAUUGCUCUGGAUAGAGAUAUUGGCUUGAUCGCGUCGUUGUUUCUUGUGGACCGCAACCUGUCAUCGCGAAUCCGUAUCACCGACACGGCUACUGCUCCAAGCCACUGUACCAGAGAGUUAUCAGGGUGUUUCCAGAGAAGUUGUGCAGCAGCCCGCUACCAGAAACUCACGUCGCCGUCGGAGGGAGUCGAAUCUUGACCCCUAAGAUUGCAGAGACCGUUGAAGACGUACCGAGUCUUGUCAGAAUAUAUUAGUAUGCUUGUAAUUAUGUUACGUUAUGCAUUACUAAUGUAUAAUUAAUAGUAGUUAAACAAUAUAAAGUAUCUAAUUUUUCAAGUAAAAUUGAAAGAUAUUUUCAAUGAAUGUUUUAUGUAAAACAUUUGUAAAAAUAGUAUUUGUAAAAAUAGAAUAGCACAAACUUAUAGUUAUUAUUCUAGUAUAUAGAAGAAAAAAAAUCCUAAUACAUAACUAGGUGAACUUGUAUUUGAAAUUCAAAUUAUUUAACAUAAUAGUUAUCUAAGA